UCCGGGGGUGUGCCUCAGGGCCGCGCCCCUCGGUUUGUGUCUUGCGGAUAGGAGAGGCGCAACCUGGUACUUGAGCUUUAAAGCCCGAGAAAAUCCUGUUUUAAAUUACCUCUUUUUAACCCUUGCCGUCAAGUGCCAUGGAGCAUCCGCGAGGCAGUGUGAAGCCUCAGCCUAUUUACUGGUUUGACUGGAUUGGGAGCCAGCAGGUUCACUUACUAUUGAGACUCCCAGAACGACAGCAGAGCAGAGUUUAAGUUACUGGUGCUCUGGGAGGUCUCGGAGACCAAAUUGUCAGAGACGUCUAAGGCAUUUGCGGAGAACACAGAGUUGACUUGCUCAAUGAAUGUUAUGUGAAUGUUAAUGCAAAAAAAGACUUAGAUGGAUGCAAUUUAAACUGUCACAAUAUAUUUGAGAAAUGAUGAUCCAAAAUUUGACCAUGAAGAAGUUCUUAGAAUGUCAAUGACUCAUUCACACCUAAAUCAAGGGACAUGGAUGAAGCUGGAAACCAUCAUCCUCAGCAAACUAACACAGG
Long non-coding RNA from Sapajus apella (tufted capuchin), 532 nucleotides. RefSeq lists it as uncharacterized. The transcript is spliced from 3 exons. The record is from RefSeq and is a predicted model, not a curated record. Lineage: Eukaryota; Metazoa; Chordata; Mammalia; Primates; Cebidae.